ACGGGUGAGUAACACGUGGGUGAUCUGCCCUGCACUUCGGGAUAAGCCUGGGAAACUGGGUCUAAUACCGAAUAUGACCUCCUAUCGCAUGGUGGGUGGUGGAAAGAUUUAUCGGUGCAGGAUGGGCCCGCGGCCUAUCAGCUUGUUGGUGGGGUAAUGGCCUACCAAGGCGACGACGGGUAGCCGACCUGAGAGGGUGACCGGCCACACUGGGACUGAGACACGGCCCAGACUCCUACGGGAGGCAGCAGUGGGGAAUAUUGCACAAUGGGCGAAAGCCUGAUGCAGCGACGCCGCGUGAGGGAUGACGGCCUUCGGGUUGUAAACCUCUUUCAGCAGGGACGAAGCGCAAGUGACGGUACCUGCAGAAGAAGCACCGGCUAACUACGUGCCAGCAGCCGCGGUAAUACGUAGGGUGCAAGCGUUGUCCGGAAUUACUGGGCGUAAAGAGUUCGUAGGCGGUUUGUCGCGUCGUUUGUGAAAACCAGCAGCUCAACUGCUGGCUUGCAGGCGAUACGGGCAGACUUGAGUACUGCAGGGGAGACUGGAAUUCCUGGUGUAGCGGUGAAAUGCGCAGA
Molecule: ribosomal RNA, 578 nt
Filed under: uncultured bacterium
Lineage: Bacteria
Description: bacterial SSU rRNA
Rfam family: Bacterial small subunit ribosomal RNA
Source: RNAcentral